CCUACGGGUGGCAGCAGUGGGGAAUAUUGGGCAAUGGAGGAAACUCUGACCCAGCAACGCCGCGUGAAUGAUGAAGGUCUUCGGAUUGUAAAGUUCUUUUCUAAGGGAAGAAGAAAGUGACGGUACCUUAGGAAUAAGCCUCGGCUAACUACGUGCCAGCAGCCGCGGUAAUACGUAGGAGGCAAGCGUUAUCCGGAAUGACUGGGCGUAAAGGGGGCGUAGGUGGUUUGACAAGUUGGUAGCGUAACUCCGGGGCCCAACCUCGGCACUACUACCAAAACUGUCGGACUUGAGUGCAGGAUGGGCAAAUGGAAUUCCUAGUGUAGCGGUGGAAUGCGUAGAUAUUAGGAGGAACACCAGUGGCGAAGGCGAUUUGCUGGACUGUAACUGACACUGAGGCACGAAAGCGUGGGGAGCAAACAGGAUUAGAUACCCUAGUAGUC
RNAcentral lists this ribosomal RNA (443 nucleotides) under uncultured bacterium. RNAcentral describes it as "partial 16S ribosomal RNA". It matches the Rfam family "Bacterial small subunit ribosomal RNA", at positions 338 to 795 of the family's 1533-position model. The record is from RNAcentral.